GUGGGGAAUUUUGGACAAUGGGGGCAACCCUGAUCCAGCCAUUCCGCGUGAGUGAAGAAGGCCUUCGGGUUGUAAAGCUCUUUCGGCAGGAACGAAACGGUGAGCUCUAACAUAGCUCGCUAAUGACGGUACCUGAAGAAGAAGCACCGGCUAACUACGUGCCAGCAGCCGCGGUAAUACGUAGGGUGCGAGCGUUAAUCGGAAUUACUGGGCGUAAAGCGUGCGCAGGCGGUUGUGUAAGACAGGUGUGAAAUCCCCGGGCUUAACCUGGGAACUGCGCUUGUGACUGCACGGCUAGAGUAUGGCAGAGGGGGGUGGAAUUCCACGUGUAGCAGUGAAAUGCGUAGAGAUGUGGAGGAACACCGAUGGCGAAGGCAGCCCCCUGGGCCAAUACUGACGCUCAUGCACGAAAGCGUGGGGAGCAAACAGGAUUAGAUACCCUUGUAGUCC
Molecule: ribosomal RNA, 450 nt
Filed under: uncultured bacterium
Lineage: Bacteria
Description: bacterial SSU rRNA
Rfam family: Bacterial small subunit ribosomal RNA
Source: RNAcentral